This 635-nucleotide long non-coding RNA is filed under the name Mus pahari (shrew mouse). RNAcentral describes it as "lncRNA (MGP_PahariEiJ_G0012086.1)". Lineage: Eukaryota; Metazoa; Chordata; Mammalia; Rodentia; Muridae. The record is from RNAcentral.
GGAGGAGAAUCUUCUCAAGGGAGGACACUCACUAAUUCCAGGUCAGAAAGAGACCAGAACAACCCCAGAGUUCUGGGCAUGAGCAAAGAGCCAAGGACCAUCUCCAGACAUCAAAGAGCAUUAUAUCAUGGCUAAGAACAGAUGCUGGGGCCAGGGAGAUGGGCACAGGGAGAUGGCACUAAGCUUUCAGAGGAUUGGAGUUUGGUUCCCAUUCCCAUGUUGGCCAGAUCAUGACGGCCAGUGGCUACAGCUUCAGAGGACCUGGAACCUUCUUCUGGUGACCCUGCAUGCACCACCUUCAUAUGCACCUCCCCCUAAGACACACACGCCUUCCUAACUGUCUCUGGUGACAACAGGACAGGUACAUCACAGCUGUUUGUGUGCUAUGAUUUCCUGUGUGUGCACACAGGAAGAAGACCCUCUUUUCUUCUUUGCCCACAAACUGCUCUUCACUCCUGGGAUGACCUUGCUUCAGCUGGGAUCAGAAGCUCAAGAGCACACUGGGUACAAAAUCAAGGCCUGUGGGGGAAAUUUCAGCACCCAGUGUCUGCCCAGGUGUGCUUAGUGUCACCUCCAUGGGCACUGGCUCCACUGUCCCCCAUGUCCUGACCCCUAUCAAAAUGUUGAAUAAGCUA